RNAcentral lists this ribosomal RNA (523 nucleotides) under uncultured bacterium. Its description in RNAcentral is "bacterial SSU rRNA". It matches the Rfam family "Bacterial small subunit ribosomal RNA", at positions 362 to 879 of the family's 1533-position model. The record is from RNAcentral.
UCUUCGGCAAUGGGCGCAAGCCUGACCGAGCGACGCCGCGUGCGGGAUGAAGGCCUUCGGGUUGUAAACCGCUGUCGUAGAGGAGGAAAUGCAGGGGGGUUCUCCCUUCUGUUUGACCUAUUCUAGGAGGAAGUACGGGCUAAGUUCGUGCCAGCAGCCGCGGUAAGACGAACCGUACAAACGUUACUCGGAAUUACUGGGCUUAAAGGGUGCGUAGGCUGCGCGGAAAGUUGGGUGUGAAAGCCCUCGGCUCAACCGAGGAAUUGCACUCAAAACUACCGUGCUUGAGGGAGACAGAGGUAAGCGGAACUCAAGGUGGAGCGGUGAAAUGCGUUGAUAUCUUGAGGAACACCGGUGGCGAAGGCGGCUUACUGGGUCUUUUCUGACGCUGAGGCACGAAAGCUAAGGUAGCAAACGGGAUUAGAUACCCCGGUAGUCUUAGCUGUAAACGAUGAGCACUUGGUUGGAGGGUCCUCCAUAGCCUUCCAGUCGUAGCGAAAGUGUUAAGUGCUCCGCCUGGGGA